Molecule: ribosomal RNA, 490 nt
Filed under: uncultured soil bacterium
Lineage: Bacteria
Description: bacterial SSU rRNA
Rfam family: Bacterial small subunit ribosomal RNA
Source: RNAcentral
AGGACGAACGCUGGCGGCGUGCUUAACACAUGCAAGUCGAGCGGUAAGGCCUUUCGGGGUACACGAGCGGCGAACGGGUGAGUAACACGUGGGUGAUCUGCCCUGCACUCUGGGAUAAGCCUGGGAGACUGGGUCUAAUACCGGAUAUGACUGCAUGCCGCAUGGUGUGUGGUGGAAAGCUUUAUGUGGUGCAGGAUGGGCCCGCGGCCUAUCAGCUUGUUGGUGGGGUAAUGGCCUACCAAGGCGACGACGGGUAGCCGACCUGAGAGGGUGACCGGCCACACUGGGACUGAGACACGGCCCAGACUCCUACGGGAGGCAGCAGUGGGGAAUAUUGCACAAUGGGCGAAGCCUGAUGCAGCGACGCCGCGUGAGGGAUGGAAGGCCUUCGGGUUGUAAACCUCUUUACAGUCAGGGACGAAGCGCAAGUGACGGUACCUGCAGAAGAAGCACCGGCUAACGUACGUGCCAGCCAGCCGCGUAAUCCUGA